GAAGGGGCAUAUAUAUAAUCAAAACAUUUACAAGGUACACGAAAGUUUAAAGUCUACAAAAUAACCCUGACAAGAUGGGUUUGGCUCUCUAUGCAUGGAAAGCCUCAAGCUGACAAAAUGAAAGAUGGAAAAAGAAGGAAACACAAGGAGGAAGAAGAGGUUGUUCCCAUAAGCCCCAAGCAGCCUUCAUAAGCUCCUACAGUGAAGUCGUGUCUCCAAACC
Molecule: long non-coding RNA, 222 nt
Filed under: Vigna radiata
Lineage: Eukaryota; Viridiplantae; Streptophyta; Magnoliopsida; Fabales; Fabaceae
Description: long non-coding RNA (VRAD_LNC005712)
Source: RNAcentral